GCUUCCUUGUUUCUUUCUCAGCAAAGGAGAAAUACAAGACCCAUGAGUACUUGCUUCCCACAAAGAGAUGCUGCCUGCCAGUAUGCUCCCAGAGAAACCUGCAAGCAUUCCAGCAGUGGUGUUGGGCUGUGAAGUCAGUGAAGAAGACCUGAGAAAGACAUGGG
Molecule: long non-coding RNA, 164 nt
Filed under: Ictidomys tridecemlineatus (thirteen-lined ground squirrel)
Lineage: Eukaryota; Metazoa; Chordata; Mammalia; Rodentia; Sciuridae
Description: lncRNA (ENSSTOG00000030006.1)
Source: RNAcentral